GGCGUGGUAGUACAGUGGUUUAGUACGUUCCUCCCCCAUUGGGAAGACAUAGGUUCGAAUCCUAUCUACGCUA
RNAcentral lists this transfer RNA (73 nucleotides) under Eutypa lata UCREL1. RNAcentral's name for it is "tRNA-Gly (CCC) (tRNA-Gly-CCC-5-1)". It matches the Rfam family "tRNA". Rfam says of the family: Transfer RNA (tRNA) molecules are approximately 80 nucleotides in length. Lineage: Eukaryota; Fungi; Ascomycota; Sordariomycetes; Xylariales; Diatrypaceae. The record is from RNAcentral.